Molecule: ribosomal RNA, 256 nt
Filed under: uncultured bacterium
Lineage: Bacteria
Description: partial 16S ribosomal RNA
Rfam family: Bacterial small subunit ribosomal RNA
Source: RNAcentral
UACGGGGGGGGGUAAGCGUUGUUCGGAAUUACUGGGCGUAAAGCGCACGUAGGCGGAUUCGCAAGUAGGAUGUGAAAGCCCCAGGCUCAACCUGGGAAUGGCACCCUAAACUACGGAUCUUGAAUGCUUGAGAGGUUGGUGGAAUUCCUGGUGUAGGAGUGAAAUCCGUAGACUAUCAGGAGGAAUAUCGGUGGCGAAGGCGACCAACUGGUGGUGCAUUGGACGCUGAGGUGCGAAAGCGUGGGGAGCAAACAGG